Bombina bombina (fire-bellied toad) is the source of this 1921-nucleotide long non-coding RNA. RefSeq lists it as uncharacterized. The transcript has 2 exons. The record is from RefSeq and is a predicted model, not a curated record. Lineage: Eukaryota; Metazoa; Chordata; Amphibia; Anura; Bombinatoridae.
AGGGCCAUCUUUCCAAUCUGGUCAGGUGGGAGCUACAGGAAUUUCUGCCCUGGCAAUUUAUGAUUAUGAAGGAAGUGGGGACGAUGAGAUUUCCUUCCAGCCGGCGGACCUGAUCACAGACAUAGAGAUGGUGGAUGAGGGCUGGUGGAGUGGAACCUGUGGAGGGCGCCGUGGGCUGUUCCCUGCUAACUAUGUGCAGCUUGUACAAUAAUCAUGUAUCAUGUGUGCAACAAAGGAACACUGUCAGCUUCCUUACAGGCCGCAGCUUUUUUUCUAGGGACAUGACCCAGCAACUAUACACUCCCGCACUCUUUAUUAUAGGGAUUUGACCCAUCGACUAUACACUCCCGUAGCGACUAUACUGUUGGUAUAUACCAGGGUUAUAAUACAAUUUACUUAUUAUUAUUCUUACUAAAAUAACCUCCAACUAAAAUGUAUACAAAACAAUUGAAAUAAAUAUUUAUUCCUAAAUUCUUAGAUUAGUUAGCCUUAUAAACACAUUGAAUCAUAUUUAAGUAGAAACUAGAAUAGAUUAUGAAUCAACUAUACAUGCUUAUGCCGUUAUAAUAUUCUUUAUAAGGUAAACCAAAAAUAUAUCUUACUUACAAUGAAUCACAUUAAAAUAUCACUAUAAAGUACCAGAAUCUUUUUAAAUUAGCCAAUAACUCUAAUUCAUUGCCCAAUAUGGAUUACAAGCUUACUCUGCUUAAUUUACAACAAUCAGAGAUUUAAAUACAAUAACCAAUUUUGAAAUAUCUCACAAUAGCUCCAAAUAACUUAAUAAACACCAGAGAGAUUUACUUACAAUAAUAAGCCUGACUUAGAGAUAUGAAAUACAAAACACCUUUAUCUAGCAAAUAAGAUUACUUAGCAUCAAUAUGACUAGUUCUAAACUACACAGGAUUAUGAACAUGAACUUAAAAUACAAAGUGCCCUUUUAAACCACCAGCUUCAAUUAAACUAUAGCUAUAGAAUACCUUUGAUGUAAAUAUUAUAUAUACUUAACAAUUGCUUAUACUUUACCAGAUAACAAAAUGAAUGCUCAGCUUCUUCUGAUAAGUACAGUUCACUUCAUAAAUAAUAAAGGUAUUUGCAAUUUAGAGAAUAAAAGAUUUAGGCCCAAUGUUGCUUUCUGUAAACCAAGGCAGCAAGAUAAGUCAGAGAGUUUAAACUCAGCAGCAUGAUCCUUUUUUUCCUCUGUGCAAGCGACUAUAUCAUGUGAUAAGUCCCACAUUUUUAUACGCUCUUGAUAGGCCCUUAACGAAUCUUGUCUGUGAUAGGUCCUUCGAGCCAAACAUUUAAUUGUCUUAUUGGGAACAUAUGGUUAUUUGAUACUAUAAUUCCCUUUGGUUGUAAUUCUUGCAUAAACCACUAGAUGGUAGCAGACAAACAGAAAUGCAGUCUUACUAUCAAAUACUAUUAACAGUACAUACAGAUUCUUAUAUAUAUUCAAAUGUAUAUUUAGUAUAUUCACUAUUUCUUGAUUUUAGCAAAACCUGUCUGGUCACAUAUAUGUCCCAUCUAAUAUGAUUUAGCAUGUAUUUAUAGAUACUAAACAUAAGCAUAUCUCUAGUAAUUUUUUAAACUGCAUUUAAAAAUCACAUUUUCCAUGAAAGGAUUUAAAAGGAUCACAAUACCUUCAGCAUGGAUCUAGCUAAUAUCUCAGUUAUCAUCUUAAUAUCACAUACAUACCUUGAGAUUAGCAAUCAGUUGUAAUUUCUAAAAAAUUCUAUAUUUAUAUUGGAUUAUUUUCCCAUACCAAUAUCAAUAUUGCAUAUAUGUAUAUCUCUUGCUGAGUGUAUAAAAACAUAUGAUAAAAUUUACAGCAACAAUUAAAUAUGCACUUAUUAGAUGCCUUUACAGUUGCAUUUUUUAUGAGGGACUAGUAGUAUAAAUCAAUAAAAUAUAAAUGUUUAUCUGA